ACGCACGCUGGCGGCGUGCCUCAUACAUGCAAGUUGAGCGCUGAAGGUUGGUACUUGUACCCACUGGAUGAGCAGCGAACGGGUGAGUAACGCGUGGGGAAUCUGCCUUUGAGCGGGGGACAACAUUUGGAAACGAAUGCUAAUACCGCAUAAAAACUUUAAACACAAGUUUUAAGUUUGAAAGAUGCAAUUGCAUCACUCAAAGAUGAUCCCGCGUUGUAUUAGCUAGUUGGUGAGGUAAAGGCUCACCAAGGCGAUGAUACAUAGCCGACCUGAGAGGGUGAUCGGCCACAUUGGGACUGAGACACGGCCCAAACUCCUACGGGAGGCAGCAGUAGGGAAUCUUCGGCAAUGGACGAAAGUCUGACCGAGCAACGCCGCGUGAGUGAAGAAGGUUUUCGGAUCGUAAAACUCUGUUGGUAGAGAAGAACGUUGGUGAGAGUGGAAAGCUCAUCAAGUGACGGUAACUACACAGAAAGGGACGGCUAACUACGUG
RNAcentral lists this ribosomal RNA (496 nucleotides) under uncultured bacterium. Its description in RNAcentral is "partial 16S ribosomal RNA". It matches the Rfam family "Bacterial small subunit ribosomal RNA", at positions 29 to 507 of the family's 1533-position model. The record is from RNAcentral.